Molecule: ribosomal RNA, 464 nt
Filed under: uncultured Klebsiella sp.
Lineage: Bacteria; Pseudomonadati; Pseudomonadota; Gammaproteobacteria; Enterobacterales; Enterobacteriaceae
Description: bacterial SSU rRNA
Rfam family: Bacterial small subunit ribosomal RNA
Source: RNAcentral
CCUACGGGCGGCAGCAGUGGGGAAUAUUGCACAAUGGGCGCAAGCCUGAUGCAGCCAUGCCGCGUGUGUGAAGAAGGCCUUCGGGUUGUAAAGCACUUUCAGCGUGGAGGAAGGCGUUAAGGUUAAUAACCUUGUCGAUUGACGUUACCCGCAGAAGAAGCACCGGCUAACUCCGUGCCAGCAGCCGCGGUAAUACGGAGGGUGCAAGCGUUAAUCGGAAUUACUGGGCGUAAAGCGCACGCAGGCGGUCUGUCAAGUCGGAUGUGAAAUCCCCGGGCUCAACCUGGGAACUGCAUUCGAAACUGGCAGGCUAGAGUCGUGUAGAGGGGGGUAGAAUUCCAGGUGUAGCGGUGAAAUGCGUAGAGAUCUGGAGGAAUACCGGUGGCGAAGGCGGCCCCCUGGACAAAGGCUGACGCUCAGGUGCGAAAGCGUGGGGAGCAGACAGGAUUAGUACCCGUGUAGUC